GCCUCAUGGAAUCCAGAAUGGACUAGGCCAUGAGUUGUGCCUGAGCCUCAGCUGGCUGUCCUGGGUCUCUUCACCACAGGACUGGAAUGAUGGCUGCUAUCUGUUCCAGAAAACUUCAAUAUUGCCUCAAGUGAAAAGGAAAAGCUCAUAUUUCAAGACCACUGACAUCAGCCCAUUCACAUCCUGCAAGAGGAUGGAUGCCAGUUCCUUUUACUGUGAAGAAAAGAGAGAUGCAUUAGCAUCCCUUCACCCAUCUCUCCACCAGUCUUUUUGGUUUGUAGAUCAGCCAGUCUGGCUGCUGUAACAGGAUUAAAAUGUAAUGUCUCCCAGCAAGCUAGUGAAUAUCAGCCCUCUUUCACCUUGUGGAUAUAAACGCCUUCUUUAGUGGAUAAAGCCAUUAGUUGAC
RNAcentral lists this long non-coding RNA (406 nucleotides) under Chinchilla lanigera (long-tailed chinchilla). RNAcentral's name for it is "lncRNA (ENSCLAG00000028357.1)". The record is from RNAcentral. Lineage: Eukaryota; Metazoa; Chordata; Mammalia; Rodentia; Chinchillidae.